GAUGCUAUUUCUAGAGAUAGAAAGUUACUUCGGUACAUCGGUGACAGGUGGUGCAUGGUUGUCGUUAGCUCGUGUCGUGAGAUGUUGGGUUAAGUCCCGCAACGAGCGCAACCCCUAUUGUUAGUUGCCAUCAUUCAGUUGGGCACUCUAGCGAGACUGCCGGUAAUAAACCGGAGGAAGGUGGGGAUGACGUCAAAUCAUCAUGCCCCUUAUGACCUGGGCUACACACGUGCUACAAUGGUUGGUACAACGAGUUGCGAGUCGGUGACGGCGAGCUAAUCUCUUAAAGCCAAUCUCAGUUCGGAUUGUAGGCUGCAACUCGCCUACAUGAAGUCGGAAUCGCUAGUAAUCGCGGAUCAGCACGCCGCGGUGAAUACGUUCCCGGGCCUU
Molecule: ribosomal RNA, 390 nt
Filed under: uncultured Streptococcus sp.
Lineage: Bacteria; Bacillati; Bacillota; Bacilli; Lactobacillales; Streptococcaceae
Description: bacterial SSU rRNA
Rfam family: Bacterial small subunit ribosomal RNA
Source: RNAcentral